RNAcentral lists this ribosomal RNA (257 nucleotides) under Staphylococcus aureus. Its description in RNAcentral is "partial 23S ribosomal RNA". It matches the Rfam family "Bacterial large subunit ribosomal RNA", at positions 126 to 376 of the family's 2925-position model. Lineage: Bacteria; Bacillati; Bacillota; Bacilli; Caryophanales; Staphylococcaceae. The record is from RNAcentral.
ACCCAGCAUGAGUUAUGUCAUGUUAUCGAUAUGUGAAUACAUAGCAUAUCAGAAGGCACACCCGGAGAACUGAAACAUCUUAGUACCCGGAGGAAGAGAAAGAAAAUUCGAUUCCCUUAGUAGCGGCGAGCGAAACGGGAAGAGCCCAAACCAACAAGCUUGCUUGUUGGGGUUGUAGGACACUCUAUACGGAGUUACAAAGGACGACAUUAGACGAAUCAUCUGGAAAGAUGAAUCAAAGAAGGUAAUAAUCCUGU